GUUUUAUCGCUUCCUUAUAUAUUACUGUCCAUCCUUCCCGCUUUUACAUGCACCUAUUUCCGCGAAAAAUUACUCAUAUCACAUAUGUGAAGCUACAUAUAAAUACUAGGACUUUACAAUCACGUGCGAGACAUAUGACCACCUGAUAGAGUCACACAUACGACAAAACAAUCCUAUUUUUACUGGCUCAUAUUUAUGAAUUCACAAUUGUAUGAAUCGUUAGAUCGAUUGUGAUCAACGUGGAUUUCUUAAUACGCUCUCGUUUGAUAUAAACGUAUGUUAAUGAAUACUGUAAGUGACAUUUUAGAGGGUCCUGAAGGGGUAAAAUGGGAACUGGGAUUUGCUUAUUUUUGGGUGGGAAAAUGGGAUUUCAUGCACUGGGACUGGGAUUC
This is a non-coding RNA of Paramuricea clavata, 392 nucleotides long. NCBI's taxonomy places the organism in Eukaryota, Metazoa, Cnidaria, Anthozoa, Malacalcyonacea, Plexauridae. The record is from the annotation of a GenBank genome assembly.